CUGAUCCAGCCAUGCCGCGUGCAAGAUGAAGGCCCUUAGGGUCGUAAAUUGCUUUUCUUAGAGAAGAAACCCCCAAAUUCAUUUGGGGCUGACGGUAUCUAAGGAAUAAGCACCGGCUAACUCCGUGCCAGCAGCCGCGGUAAUACGGAGGGUGCAAGCGUUAUCCGGAUUUACUGGGUUUAAAGGGUGCGUAGGUGGAUCGGUAAGUCAGAGGUGAAAGCCCCAAGCUUAACUUGGGAAUUGCCUUUGAAACUGUCGAUCUUGAGUAUAGUUGAGGCUGGCGGAAUGAGCGGUGUAGCGGUGAAAUGCAUAGAUAUGCACUAGAACACCGAUUGCGAAGGCAGCUAGCUAAACUAUUACUGACACUGAGGCACGAAAGCGUGGGUAGCAAACAGGAUUAGAUACCCUGGUAGUCCACGCCCUAAACGAUGUUCACUCGACAUUGGCGAUAUACUGUCAGUGUCUAAGGGAAACCAUUAAGUGAACCACC
This 490-nucleotide ribosomal RNA is filed under the name uncultured Thermoflavifilum sp. RNAcentral describes it as "bacterial SSU rRNA". It matches the Rfam family "Bacterial small subunit ribosomal RNA", at positions 383 to 873 of the family's 1533-position model. The record is from RNAcentral. Lineage: Bacteria; Pseudomonadati; Bacteroidota; Chitinophagia; Chitinophagales; Chitinophagaceae.